RNAcentral lists this long non-coding RNA (4984 nucleotides) under Malus domestica (apple). Its description in RNAcentral is "long non-coding RNA (MDOM_LNC006142)". The record is from RNAcentral. Lineage: Eukaryota; Viridiplantae; Streptophyta; Magnoliopsida; Rosales; Rosaceae.
UUUGGUUUCAAUAUUUGUUGUAUAUUUCAUUAUGAAUGUUACAAGAGAGUGAAGACAACUCUUAUAGAGAGCCAAAAGAAAGCUACAAUAGAUUGUAGGAUAACUAGACAAACACAAUCCUUAAAAUCUGCCCUAACAAGUGGAAAAGCAAAAACCAAAUUACAAGUAAAGAAGCUUUUACAAACAACUAAGAAAGGUUGAUGUAAGGUAAAUGACAAGCUAUGGAAAGGUUGAUGUAAGGUGAAUGACAAGCUAUGGAAUGUGAGGUUGAUGUAAGGUGAAUGACAAGCUAUAGAAAGUGACUUUAGCCUAUGACUUAGCUAAAGUGAGGAUGACAACUCAUACAUACAACUCAUCCAUACAAACCGGUUUCAAUACACCCCAUCAAGCUUGAUCAAAGGGAUUGAUUGAUCCAAGCUUGCACAACAAACGCUGAAACUGAGUAGAGUCUAGUGCUUUUGUGAAUAAAUCAGCAAGUUGAUCGUGGUUGCGUGUGAACACGGUGUCUAUCACCUUGGAUUGAACUUGAGCACAAAUAUAAUGGCAGUCAACUUCAAUAUGUUUAGUACUUUCAUGGAAUACUGGAUUGGAGGCAAUGUGCAUGGCAGCUUGGUUAUCAUAAUACAAGGACAUAGGUGCCAUGCUUGUGAAUCCGAGCUCGGAAAGAAGACCUUUCAACCAUAUGAGUUCACAGGUUGUUGCUGCCAUAGCCCUAUACUUAGCUUCAGCACUAGAUCGAGCAAUAACAGUUUGUUUCUUGCUCUUCCAAGUGACAAGGUUCCCUCCAACAAAUGUGCAAAAACUUAUUGUGGAUUUUCAAUCAAAGGCAUUUCCAGCCCAGUCAACAUCUGUGUAGGCCAAAAUGUGAUUUGAUCCAUUGUUCUUCAUAAUUAUCCCCAUUCCUACUGAGCCCUUGAGAUAUCGAAGUAUUCUCUUGACGAUUUCCCAGUGAACUAAAGUACGAGAGUGCAUGAACUGACUGGCUAGGCUAACUGAAUAUGAGAUAUCAGGCCUAAUAAUGGUGAGAUAAACAAGUUUCCCAACCAUUCGCUGAUAAACACGAGGGUCCGAGAGAGGUUCACCUUUUUCAUGCCACUGAAGUUUGCUAGCUAGGGGUGUCCGAGCUGGUUUACAUUCCAUCAUGUUAUCUUUAUCUAGAAGAUCGAGAACAUACUUUCUUUUAUUCAAGAAUAAUGCCUUUGAAGAGGUAACUAACUCAAUUCCAAGAAAGUAUUUCAAGGGCCCCAAGUCUUUAAUGGAAAAUUUUUGGUGAAGUGACUGUUUAACCGUCUUGAUUUCACUUAUAUUGUCACCUGUAAUAAUUAGGUUGUCAACAUAUAUAAGCACAACCAAUUUGCCAGCAAUACUACUUCGAACAAACAAAGAAGAGUCAGCAUGACUCCUUUUGAACCCUGCAGCUUCAAGGACUAAACUAAGCUUCGAAUACCAAGCUUGAGGGGACUAUUUGAGACCAUAUAUGGCUUUGUGAAGUCUGCAGACCUUGUUAGGUUCAUUUUCUCUUGGAUGACCAGGAGGUAACUUCAUGUACACUUCUUCUUCAAAAUCCCCAUGAAGAAAUGCAUUCUUCACAUCCAUUUGGAAUAAAGGCCAUGCAUUAUUGACUGCCACAGACAACAUUACCCUCACUGUGUUCAUUUUGGCAACAGGAGCAAAGGUCUCCUUAUAGUCAAUGCUAUAAGUUUGAGUAAAGCCUUGAGUUACUAAUCGUGCCUUGUGUCUUUUAAUGCUUCCAUUAGAGUUAAAUUUGGUCUUAUAUAUCCACCUACUUCCCAUGACCUUCUUGCCAUUUAGAAGCUCCACCACACUCCAUGUCUGGUUGUCAUUCAGAGCUUGAAGCUCUUUAGUCAUAGCAUCUUGCCACUCAGGCAUGGAUGUGGCUUCAUGAAAAUUCCUUGGUUCGAAAGUGUGGGACACUUUGUUAAGGAAAGAAGUAUGAGAAGAUAAGAAUAUGUGAUAAGAAAUGGCUGCAGAGAUAGGAUGCCUUGCAGUGUAAAUAACAUACUCUUGUAACCUCACUGGUGGAUGUCUAUCUCGUGUAGGAUUUCUUCUUGGUGCACUUAUAGCUUGCUGAUUUGGUUGAGCUUCUGAUGGUUCAGAAUAGCUUGGCACUGCAUCAGUUAUACUCUCAGUGAGUUGAGAAUUAUCAGGGCUGAUAUGAGCAGGAUUAGCAUUAGUCUCCAACCCUUUAUGGAAAUAAGGUGAAUAUUCAUCAAAUCGCACAUUUCUAGAGACUUCCAGCUUCCCCGUGUUAGGGUUGUACACUUUGUAACCCUUUUGAGAACUGACGUAUCCCAUAAACACACAUUUAACAGCUCGAGGGUCGAGUUUGUCACGAUGGAGAGCUUGAAUGUGCACAUAACAAAUACAACUAAAGGUCUUGAGGUGAGACAAGCUUUAGGCCUGCCCUUCAUGACUUCAAAAGGAGAUUUAGUAUUCAACACACGAGUUAGCAGUUUAUUAAUGAUGUACGUAGCAGUGAGUAAAGCUUGAGACCAAAAUUUCUUAGGAACAUUCAUUUAGAUCAUAAAUGAUCGAGUCUUCUCCAAUAAGUCUCGAUUCUUUCUCUCUGCCACACCAUUUUGUUAUGGUGUACCAACACAGCUAGUUUGAUGCAAAAUGCCAUGAUUGCUCAAGUAAUUACUCAUGUUAUUGGAAGUGUACUCGGUACCAUUAUCUGAUCUUAACAUACAUAACUUAGAUGAAAAUUGAUUGGUGAUUAGGUUGUGAAAGUCCUUAAAAGCAUCAAACAAAUCACUUUUAAGUUUUAAAAGAUACAACCAGGUUACUCUAGAAUAGUCAUAAAUAAAUGUUACAUAAUAUCUAUACCCAUCAAAGGAUUCUACAAGAGAAGGACCCCAAAUAUCAGAGUGAACAAGCUUAAAAAGUUUACUAGUUCUAGAAUUAGAGGAAACAAAAGGAAGUCUAGUGGCUUUUGACAUUUGACAAGUUUCACACUCCAGUGUGUUUUUACAAAAAAAGGGAAACAACUUAGUCAUCACAUGUUCUGAGGGAUGGGCAAGGCGUUGAUGCCAGAGUUGGUGUUCCUGAACUUGACUUAAGUUGACACUAAGCUUUUUGACAAAUUGGACUCCUUUGAGAGAUAGUAGAGUCCAUUCAAGAAGAACCCUUCACCAAUCUUCUUCUGAGUAACUCGGUCUUGAAACACAACAUUGUGAGGGAAAAAUAUGGCAAGACAGUCUAAGGUUUUUGUGAUUUUUCUUAUUGAUAAGAGCUGAAAAGGAAAAGAAGGUACAUAGAGAGUAGUGGAAUCAGUAUGCUCACUUAGCAAUCUAAUCUUUCCUUUCCCUAUAAUAGGUUCCCCUUUCCUAUUUGCAACAGAUACAUGAAUAGGAUCAAUAGUUCUUUGAAAAUCGUGGAGACUAGAGGGUUUAUUAGUUAUAUGAUUAGUGGCACCAGAGUCAAUAAUCCAAAAAUCAUGUGUAACAUUUGCAUUAAGAGCAGUGGAAAUGGCACUGAUAAUACCUGGAAUAUUGCCUUUCGAUGUGUUCUCCGAGUUAGCCAAGAAUCCAGCAAAUUUCCCUAGCAUCGCAGUAGGGUUUUCAGGUGUCAUUUCAUCAGGUUCAGUGCUUCCUUGUUUCUUUUGAAGAAAAGCAACAAACUCGUUGAUCAAGGACAUAAGAUUUAUUGAGAAAUUGGCCAUCCCAUUAGUUGAGGAACAAGAUGAAUGAAAUGCUUUUGGAGUGACUCCACCUUUCCCAUCUUUGAUCAUCCUGCCUUCCCUAUCAAACUUAGGCUUUAACUCCGGAUGAAGAAUCCAACAUUUUUCUUUCAAAUGUCCUUUCAUGUUGCAAUAAGAACAUUUCCAGUCUGCUUUCUUGCCAAGCACCCUAUCACCAGUUGCUUUAUGAUUUGUCGUGAAAACCCUAGCUUCAGAGUUGGAUUUGGGCUCAACGUUCAUCAUUUUUCGUCGACUCUCUGGACUGCAUGACACACAGUGGUAAAAGAGGGCAGCUCUUGAGUCAUUAACAAGUGACUACGCAGGUCUUCAUACUCAGCUCCCAAGCUUGCUAAGAGUUGAAAAACCUUGUUUCAUCAGCCCUCUUCAGUAGCACAGCGAAAUCAGUCGUGUGUGGACAAUACAUAUCGAGUUCAUUCCACAUGGAUUUCAUACUUCCAAGGUGUUGAACAAAUGAGUGAUCACCUUGCUUUAAACUAGCCACACUCUUCUUUAGUUGAAAGAUGUGAACUGAGUUGUUUUGGCUACGAUACAUGUAUUUGACAAACUCUCAUAUGAGAAUGGAAGACUCUGAGUAGCUGAAAAGCUCAUACAGUUUUGGCCCCAUGGAGUUAAAUAACCGGGACAUGACCAGCUGAUCAGUAGUAUGCCAUGCAUCGUAAGUUGGUGAAGUGGAUUCUGAGGGCUCAGAGCUUCCAUUGAUAAACCCUAGCUUCGAUCUUCCUCCUAGAGCAAGUGACACAGCUCUUGACCAAGGAAGGUAGUUGAACUCGUUCAAUAGCACUGAGCAGAGUCGUUGAUUUGGAUUGUUCUCAACCCCUUGGGUUAAGUUUGGGAAGGAGGAUGAGGCACUGUCUGCACUAGACACAUUUUCUUCUGCCAUCUCUAUCGAUGAUGAGCAAAUGAAGAAGUAAAAAAACAGAACAAAGUCAGGACCUUAUGGUUCCUGCUCUGAUACCAUGUUGAGUUUUGGUUUCAAUAUUUGUUGUAUAUUUCAUUAUGAAUGUUACAAGAGAGCGAAGACAACUCUUAUAGAGAGCCAAAAGAAAGCUACAAUAGAUUGUAAGAUAACUACACAAACACAAUCCCUAAAAUCUGCUCUAACAAGUGGAAAAGCAAAAACCAAAUUACAAGUAAAGAAGCUUUUACAAGCAACUAAGAAAAGUUGAUGUAAGGUGAAUGACAAGCUAUGGAAAGUGAGGUUGAUGUAAGGUGAAUGACAAGUUAUGGAAAGUGAGGUUGAUGUAAAGUGAAUGACAAGCUAUG